Molecule: non-coding RNA, 30 nt
Filed under: Rattus norvegicus (Norway rat)
Lineage: Eukaryota; Metazoa; Chordata; Mammalia; Rodentia; Muridae
Source: RNAcentral
UGCUGAAGUAGAGCUGGGUGACACGCCACU